UCUGUUAAAAUUUGUUAAUCUACCAGGUCCUGGGCUUUUUCGGGGGGUUGGUAGGCUAUUUAUUACAGAUUCAAUUUUUGGAGCUCAUAAUUGGUCUAUUCAGAGACUGAAUUUCUUCCUGGUUCAGUCUUGAGGAGUAUAUGUGUCCAGGAAUUUAUUAAUCUCUUCUAGGGUUUCUAGUUUGUGUGUAUAGAGGUGCUCGUAGUAGUUGCUGGUUGUUAUUUUUAUUUCCCUGGGGUCAGUGGUAACAUUCCCUUCAUCAUUUCUAAUUUUGUUUAUUUGAAUCUUCUCUCUUUUCUUCUUUAUUAGUCUAGCUAGUGCCCUAUCUAUCUUAUUAAUUUUUUCAAAAAACCUUGAUUAAGUGAUCUCUUGAACAGUUUUUCAUGUCUCAAUUUCUUUCAAUUCAGCUCUGGUUUUAGUUAUUUCUUGUCUUCUAUAAGCUUUGUGGUUGAGUUCUUCUUGUUUCUCUAAUUCUUUCAGUUGUGGUGUUAGGUUGUUAAUUUGAGAUAUUUCUAAUUUUUUGAUAUGGGCAUUACUUCUUAUGCCCCACUCUAACUUUUGUCCUUCUAGAAAACUCAGAACUAUGCCUUCUAAACCAAUUGAAACUUUCUCAGUGAAUCAACCUGUUCUUCCUGAGGCAAAGUUAGCAAUUUUCCGUUACACAUGGUUCUUUCUCUGUAAGAAUAUCUAAUGCAACAAUGCAAGUGUUUCUUUCCCUCCUGGUAAUGUGGGGAACUCCUUUUAGCUAAGACCAAGACUUAAAACCUUGUUCUUUCAACAUUAAUGAAGAUCUAUUUAGAAAGCCUCCAUUUUUACAGAAAAGAUAUAUAAACACCAAUGAAAAUGAAUAUGAAAUUAUAUGACACAAUUACAUUGUGGAAAGACUGAAUAAAUAAGUGAACUAAGCUCUAAGAAAAAAUAUGAUGAUAUAAAAAGAUAUAGAAGUAAAAACCUGGGCUGGUAUAGCAUAAUUAAUGUAUCAGUAAAGUAUGUACAGUGUAGAAGUGGCAGAAAGACAGCAUAGAGAGUAAGACCUGACCAAAAGCUUUAAGAAAAGUUCUAUACCCUUAAACGAGAUUAAAGUGGACUCAGGAAAACAUGGGACACAUGAGGGAAAGGACACAUGCUCCAGAUGGGCCAAAGCUCAGAGCAUCUCUACCUUCUCCAGGAGGAAAGGGGAGGCAAAGCAGCAGGCAGAAGACAGCACAGCCAGGUCAGCACAGGGCGAAGCCAGGUGGGCUCCAUCAUACAGGUAGUGAGGAGCCACUGCCAGUGGUGGGAUUGCUGAAUCAGACAGAGCCAAUGGAUGAUCAGUAAUGGUGGCCAAUCAUCAGCUAGAAACAAAGAACUUAGCAGGGCUUGAAAACACCAAAACUCUGAGACCACUGACCUUCAAAAACUUCAACAGCCCUGAGUGAAAAGUCCAAACACAUUUAUCUACCAUUCAAAGAUGCUUUAUUGUCUGUCCUCUGUGCAUCUCAGUAGCCUCUUUUUACCACACUGUCUCUAUACUGCAUGAGCCAUUUAUAUGAAACUAUCUGACUCUCCAUGGCAUCUUAUACCAUGUAUUCAACCAUGUAUCCCUAGUACCUAGCACAGUCUUGGUAUAUAGUUUGCUACUAAACUUUUGCAGAAUGAAGGAAUUAUCUUGUAUCGAGGUUCCAAGUUUUAAGGUGAUUCUUCACUAAGAAAAAGUAUUACAGUUCACAAAUAAUCUACUUCCCUUUUUACAGAUGGGAUCAAUUUUAAUCUUAUCUCCUAAUAACAUUACUUUCAUUUAUUCUGAUCUAAAUAUUCUGUCCUAAGAGAGCAAUAAGAAAGAGAGUUGAAGCUGGAGUUUGAAGAAUUGUACAUGGUUCUAUGAUACCUUACCUUGUUUUAACCUGAGUGACUCUCCCCUAGCAGAGAGAGAGCCAGACAGACUCUAUUUUAGUUUCUUCACGUGCAACCCCCUUUACCUCCCUCCCUUAAGGGCAUAACUAGUGUAAACUGACUCAAAGCACAUCCAGGAAUGCACAUACUGAUAAGAUAUUGAGGCAAGCUGCACCAGCAGCUCCUAGGGACGUGCUUGGUGAAUGUCACCCAAAACCCCUGCAUUUCUCUCUUUGUGAUAGUUUAAGUCCCUGCACCUGGAACUGUUUCUUUGUUGUGUAACUGCUUUUGUAACCAAUUAAUUUUUUAACUAUUUGCCAGCUCUGCUUCAGUAAAAAUUGUUUCAGUUAAACUCCCCCCUCCCCUAUUUAGACCACGGAAUAAAAACAAAAUCAGCCCCUUCCUCGGGGCCAAGAGAAUUUUCAGCGUUAGCUGCCUCUCCGUCGCUGGCUAAUAAAGGAUUCCUUAAUUUGUCUCAAAGUGUGGCGUUCCUCUAUAACUCGCUUGGUUACAACAGUCCACACUGUGGCCUGAGGUGCAUCGCCCACCUGAGCUUCAUCUGUUAUCUAUGUCAGGGAAGAUAAGCAGGGUGAGAGUGGCCUCAUCAGAAGACCCAAGAUCUCUGGCUUCCCCAUCUGGCAAGUGCACCUCUGUGAACAAAGACUUCAGAGCCAGAUGACAAGAAUGGCCCAAGCAGUCCACCAGGGAAACUUGGGCCCAGUGUACAUCAAUGCAGAGCGUCAAGCAUGGCAUAACAGGUGGACAGUUGCCUAUUCCUGUUCAGAGAUGACUGCAUCCCACACACUGUAAAAUGAAGAAAUGCAGAGAAGCAGAUGUAACUGAAGCAGACAGCAGGAACAACAAGGAAGGACAACCACGACCUAGGAGGGCACCAUGCCAGAGAUGCCUGGACCCUAUGCUAGGCUCAGUGCCUGUUAUACUCUUGGGAUCCAGCGCUUUCCCUCUCCAUCACAAUGCAUACUUGGCAUUAUUUGUUGUUUAAAAUAUUUUCCUUAGUUUUCACCUUUCCUAGGAGACACAGGCAGACCCUGUGACACUACAGCUUCUGGCACACAGUAGGUGCAUCACAAACAUCUGUUGAGUUCACACACUCUUGCCUUCUCAAACCUUUUUGUCAAGUCUUCAGUGAAAAGGAAUUGCUGAUUGAGCAAGAAUUAAACUUCUAGAGACUUCUGGAUCCACUGAAGUUUAAGACAAGAGGGGUCUGUUUCUAUUUUAAACAGCUCUAGUCAGGAAGUGUUAGAAAGUUCUAAACAGGAAAUGUUCCAACACACCAUCCAAGCAUGAAGCAGGAGACACCUAUAAUUGAGCUUGCUGCCACCAACCCCAACAGCAAGAAUUCCAGUCCUGCUGCUGCAAAGUAGAAUUAUCGUUUGACUUCUGUUUUGCUGACAAGAAAUGUCCUGAGCAAGGCUACCUGGGAAAAUGACCUCACACAUGGAAAACGUUGGAGCCCAUCUGUUUCCAAUGUGCUGUUUUCCGAAAAUUAGGGAAGUUCAGUUUUCCCUUUGACACUCUCUCUUACUACCAAUCCCAAUGCCAGGGCUGUCCUGCUUCUACAAGUGACAAUGACAAAUAUGGGCCUGAAGAAAGAUGAGCUGAUGGCAUUCCCAGCUUAUUACCUCUCCUUGGGGUCCUUAUCUCACAUACAUGAAUUCAACUCAUAAACUCAGCUGGGUGAGGAUCUGUUAUUCAGCUACAUAAGAAGUGAUUGCUUAAGACUCGGGUGUGUGGUGAAAUGAGGCAGAAUUUUCUCAAUGGAAUGUUGGGAGAAUUUUCUCAUUAUUACCAUCUUACUAUCACUAAAUCAUAGCUAAAAUGAAGACAUUGUUCAAGAAGAAAUAGAAAUGUAACCUUAUGAGGACAUAAAUUUAGAGAUUUGUGGAGAGCUCUUCAUAAUUUUAUGGUGUUGUCUUUGAGCUGGGAUUAUAGUUGACAUUUCAUUAUAAUAUAUUAGCUGUUCUAGACUUUAUGCAUUUAUGCAGUUUUCUUUAUUGUACUUUAAGUUCUGUGAUACAUGGGCAGAGCAUGCAGGUUUGUUACAUAGUUAUACACGUGUCGUGGUGGUUUGCUGCACCCAUCAACCCGUCAUCUACAUAUGUAUUUCUCCUAACGCUAUUCCUCCCCUAGCCUCCCACCCCAUGACAGGCCCCAGUGUGUGAUGUUCCCCUCCCUGUGUCCAUGUGUCCU
This 4083-nucleotide long non-coding RNA is filed under the name Homo sapiens (human). RNAcentral describes it as "HSALNT0288177". The record is from RNAcentral. Lineage: Eukaryota; Metazoa; Chordata; Mammalia; Primates; Hominidae.